RNAcentral lists this ribosomal RNA (253 nucleotides) under uncultured bacterium. RNAcentral describes it as "partial 16S ribosomal RNA". It matches the Rfam family "Bacterial small subunit ribosomal RNA", at positions 524 to 776 of the family's 1533-position model. The record is from RNAcentral.
UACAGAGGUCUCAAGCGUUGUUCGGAUUCAUUGGGCGUAAAGGGUGCGUAGGUGGCGCGGUAAGUCGGGUGUGAAAUUUCGGAGCUUAACUCCGAAACUGCAUUCGAUACUGCCGUGCUUGAGGACUGGAGAGGAGACUGGAAUUUACGGUGUAGCAGUGAAAUGCGUAGAUAUCGUAAGGAAGACCAGUGGCGAAGGCGAGUCUCUGGACAGCAACUGACGCUGAGGCACGAAGGCCAGGGGAGCAAACGGG